RNAcentral lists this ribosomal RNA (1367 nucleotides) under uncultured bacterium. RNAcentral's name for it is "bacterial SSU rRNA". It matches the Rfam family "Bacterial small subunit ribosomal RNA", at positions 28 to 1381 of the family's 1533-position model. The record is from RNAcentral.
GACGAACGCUGGCGGCGUGCCUAAUACAUGCAAGUAGAACGCUGAAGAGAGGAGCUUGCUCUUCUUGGAUGAGUUGCGAACGGGUGAGUAACGCGUAGGUAACCUGCCUUGUAGCGGGGGAUAACUAUUGGAAACGAUAGCUAAUACCGCAUAACAAUGGAUGACACAUGUCAUUUAUUUGAAAGGGGCAAUUGCUCCACUACAAGAUGGACCUGCGUUGUAUUAGCUAGUAGGUGAGGUAACGGCUCACCUAGGCGACGAUACAUAGCCGACCUGAGAGGGUGAUCGGCCACACUGGGACUGAGACACGGCCCAGACUCCUACGGGAGGCAGCAGUAGGGAAUCUUCGGCAAUGGGGCAACCCUGACCGAGCAACGCCGCGUGAGUGAAGAAGGUUUUCGGAUCGUAAAGCUCUGUUGUAAGUCAAGAACGAGUGUGAGAGUGGAAAGUUCACACUGUGACGGUAGCUUACCAGAAAGGGACGGCUAACUACGUGCCAGCAGCCGCGGUAAUACGUAGGUCCCGAGCGUUGUCCGGAUUUAUUGGGCGUAAAGCGAGCGCAGGCGGUUUGAUAAGUCUGAAGUUAAGGCUGUGGCUCAACCAUAGUUCGCUUUGGAAACUGUCAAACUUGAGUGCAGAAGGGGAGAGUGGAAUUCCAUGUGUAGCGGUGAAAUGCGUAGAUAUAUGGAGGAACACCGGUGGCGAAAGCGGCUCUCUGGUCUGUAACUGACGCUGAGGCUCGAAAGCGUGGGGAGCGAACAGGAUUAGAUACCCUGGUAGUCCACGCCGUAAACGAUGAGUGCUAGGUGUUGGAUCCUUUCCGGGAUUCAGUGCCGCAGCUAACGCAUUAAGCACUCCGCCUGGGGAGUACGACCGCAAGGUUGAAACUCAAAGGAAUUGACGGGGGCCCGCACAAGCGGUGGAGCAUGUGGUUUAAUUCGAAGCAACGCGAAGAACCUUACCAGGUCUUGACAUCCCGAUGCUAUUUCUAGAGAUAGAAAGUUACUUCGGUACAUCGGUGACAGGUGGUGCAUGGUUGUCGUCAGCUCGUGUCGUGAGAUGUUGGGUUAAGUCCCGCAACGAGCGCAACCCCUAUUGUUAGUUGCCAUCAUUCAGUUGGGCACUCUAGCGAGACUGCCGGUAAUAAACCGGAGGAAGGUGGGGAUGACGUCAAAUCAUCAUGCCCCUUAUGACCUGGGCUACACACGUGCUACAAUGGUUGGUACAACGAGUUGCGAGUCGGUGACGGCAAGCUAAUCUCUUAAAGCCAAUCUCAGUUCGGAUUGUAGGCUGCAACUCGCCUACAUGAAGUCGGAAUCGCUAGUAAUCGCGGAUCAGCACGCCGCGGUGAAUACGUUCCCGGGCCU